GUGCUCACUUUGGCAGCACAUAUACUAAAAUUGAUAUACAGUGAUUAGUACAGCCCCCAUGCAACAAUGAUACAUAAAUUCUUGAAGCAUUUCAUAUUAAA
RNAcentral lists this small nuclear RNA (101 nucleotides) under Vulpes vulpes (red fox). Lineage: Eukaryota; Metazoa; Chordata; Mammalia; Carnivora; Canidae. The record is from RNAcentral.